RNAcentral lists this transfer RNA (70 nucleotides) under Ovis aries (sheep). It matches the Rfam family "tRNA". Rfam says of the family: Transfer RNA (tRNA) molecules are approximately 80 nucleotides in length. Lineage: Eukaryota; Metazoa; Chordata; Mammalia; Artiodactyla; Bovidae. The record is from Rfam by way of RNAcentral.
UCCCUAGUGGUCCAGUGGUUAGGAGUCAGUUUUCACUCUUGUGGCCCAGGUUCAAUCCCUGGUUGGGGAA